RNAcentral lists this ribosomal RNA (254 nucleotides) under Bacillus subtilis. RNAcentral's name for it is "partial 16S ribosomal RNA". It matches the Rfam family "Bacterial small subunit ribosomal RNA", at positions 1253 to 1505 of the family's 1533-position model. The record is from RNAcentral. Lineage: Bacteria; Bacillati; Bacillota; Bacilli; Caryophanales; Bacillaceae.
AACCGCGAGGUUAAGCCAAUCCCACAAAUCUGUUCUCAGUUCGGAUCGCAGUCUGCAACUCGACUGCGUGAAGCUGGAAUCGCUAGUAAUCGCGGAUCAGCAUGCCGCGGUGAAUACGUUCCCGGGCCUUGUACACACCGCCCGUCACACCACGAGAGUUUGUAACACCCGAAGUCGGUGAGGUAACCUUUUAGGAGCCAGCCGCCGAAGGUGGGACAGAUGAUUGGGGUGAAGUCGUAACAAGGUAGCCGUAG